GACGAACGCUGGCGGCGUGCUUAACACAUGCAAGUCGAACGAAGUGGCGAACGGGUGAGUAACGCGUAAUCCACCUGCCCUUCAGAGGGGGCCAACAGUUGGAAAUGACUGCUAAUACCUCAUACUUAAGGAGGGGAUUGCGGCUGAUUAGCUAGUUGGAGGGGUAACGGCCCACCACGGCGAGGAUCAGUAGCCGGGCUGAGAGGAGGAACGGCCACAUUGGGACUGAGACAAGGCCCAGACUCCGACGGGAGGCAGCAGGGGGGAAUCUUCCGAAAUGGACGAAAGUCUGACGGAGCAACGCCGCGGGAGUGAUGACGGCCUUCGGGUUGUAAAGCUCUGUUAAUCGGGACGCGGUACCGGAAUAGAAAGCCACGGCUAACUACGUGCCAGCAGCCGCGGUAAUUC
Molecule: ribosomal RNA, 408 nt
Filed under: uncultured bacterium
Lineage: Bacteria
Description: partial 16S ribosomal RNA
Rfam family: Bacterial small subunit ribosomal RNA
Source: RNAcentral